Long non-coding RNA from Chinchilla lanigera (long-tailed chinchilla), 530 nucleotides. RefSeq lists it as uncharacterized. The transcript has 3 exons. NCBI's taxonomy places the organism in Eukaryota, Metazoa, Chordata, Mammalia, Rodentia, Chinchillidae. The record is from RefSeq and is a predicted model, not a curated record.
CAUAGUAUUUAUGUACAGAUGUUGGGUUCACCUGUAUACUAUUUCUCUGGCAUCCCUGAUGUAGUCUGAACUCUUUCAGUCAAGAGAAAUAUGCCUUGAAACGGUCCCAGUAAAAAUGUAGAGAUGUGUUUAGUGCAUCAGCUAUUUAAUCCACGAGGAUUCACAUAUACACAGAAAGAAGUCUGAUGACUGAGUCAAAAAUUGCCUGUUGGGAGACCCUGAGAUCCUGUUUGAACUGAAUGUCAAUCAAGUAUGGUGGGCCAAUAGGUCAAACUCAACCUUCCUCUUGCACAUACGUUGGCUGUUCUAGGACUCAGUGGUCAUUGAGGGUGUGGCUGUGCACUUCACCCAGGAGGAGUGGGCUUUGCUGGAUUCUGUGCAGAGGGAUCUCUACAGAGAUGUGAUGCUGAAGACCUUCCGGGACCUGGCCUCCAUUGGAAAAAUUUGGAAGAUUUUACCUUUGAAGAUCAGCGCACAAGCCAGGGGGAAACCCAAGAAAUGAAACAGUGGAGAGAUUCUGUGGAAGUAAU